CCCGAAGGGCUCCGGGGCGGUCCAGCACUGAUUGGACAGCAGAGUAUUGGGUCCGCCCUCCCCCUCUCCGGGCACGUUACUUUGCCGCCUCCACCGAGGGCUGCUUCGGCUCCUCCCCUGAAGACCUGCACGUGGCGGUCAGAGGAAGGCAAGUGGGAUGGAACUUGGAAAUGGGGGCGGUGAUGUAGCCAGUCUGCCUAGGACGAGGCUGAAGUUGGUUGCUAGCUUCCUGUUCUUCAGUCCUACUUUCCAGUUCCUUAUUGGACACAGAGAUGCCUGAGCAGCCUGAACAGAAAAUGUCAAUUAGAUAUGCCGGUGCACCCCCAUAUAAGCAUUGGACUGUCCCAUAUCACACACCUCUUCAAUGAUCUGGCAGGUUUGCAGGAUCUACUUUGUUUUUAUCAGAAGCCCAACAUCCACCAAUUGAAGUCAGGUGCUGGAGCCAUGUGCACAAUGGUGGCUGAUCUACUUUCCUCCCACCCUGCUUUGACACAAAUGUGUAGAUGAAUCCUGAGCUGCUGCAAACUGCUUAGUAGCUGGUACUAAGAAGGGAGACCACUUGUCAUUCACUGUUUUUAUGGGGAAAGAAAGCAGGACUCUGGGCCUGUUGCAAGAACAGAUGUUACCGAGAUAGCUUGUUUGGGGGCUCCCAGCAGCACCCUUACACCUGUUUCGGAGCUACAGGCUUGUAGUUUCCACUUUUGCCUUUUCAGAAUUUAUGGGAUUGUGGGCUCACCAUUUGGUUUGCAUGAGCUAACUCAUGGCACGUAGUCACCUGGUACGUGGCUCUAGGUCCAAUUUAACCCAUGACUGCAGGAGGACAAUCCCUGUGAUCGCUUCUCUGAUUGCCUUUCAGGUGGGGAAGCAAGAGUAGACAUGAGUUAAUUAAGUGCUAUUCUUCUACAGAACUAGCCAAAUACUCACCCCCUAUGUUGACACAUCGGAUCAGUUCAAUCCUAUCACCUUCCCCCAGAAAGAGAUAGAUAAGAGGUAACAAGCUCAUCUCUUUCUCUAACAAAAUGCUAGUAGCUGGCUUGGGUCACGGGAAGCAAGGUUGUUGAAACAUUCCUAGGCACUCCCAAGGUCUCCUGAAUACACAAGAUAAGCUCUGAUGUGCCCAUUUCAUUCCACCCUACACAGGUUCCUUAACCUAUUCACCUCAUUGUGCUAGUAGAAGCACACCCAGCAAAGUUGAACAGGACAAGGAUGUACUCCUUUGUCUAUCCCUAUUGUUGCCUUUGUCAACAGAAAGGUGUGGCCAGCAUGCCACCUCAGGGCAAGAUGCUGUCUAUUUCUAGUCAAGACACAAUCAAUCAGUGUGUCUCUCCUUUGGAUUAACCAAUUGUGUUUGGGCAUUAGCUAUAUUAUCUUGCUUUGCUUUGUUCCUGUCCCAUUUGUUGCCUCCCAGUCAGCCCUAUUGCCAGGCUUGGCUGCAGCGAGAUACUGGUCUUCUGAGAUCAGACUCCCUUUCGAUUCUUUCCAGCACCCAGAUUCUCGUUUGGUACUUGCAUCCCUAUUCCUGCCUUUUGCCUUCCUACCUGCCCUGAAGGAGAGAGAGGUCCUUUAACAUCGGUCAAACUACAAGGGUCCACAUACUGCACCGGAUGGACUUUGGUAUCACUGUCUCUGCUCCAAAACCUCCUGCUCCCCUCCUUUCUUCCCCCACCCCAAUCCAAAGCUGUCCUCUAAUACCAUUUCUCUGGUCAGCCUUGAGUGGACUUAAUACAGAUCUCAAGCUAAAACACCUCUUCAUAAACCUCAACUUAGUCCUGUUUGUUUGUUAUGUUAUUUUUGCUAGUUAAGUGUUAUAUUGAUUAUUAAUCAUAUUUCAUUUCCUGUACCCCAAGACCCUAAAAUAAACCUGAUUCUAUUUUUGAA
Hemicordylus capensis (graceful crag lizard) is the source of this 1878-nucleotide long non-coding RNA. RefSeq lists it as uncharacterized. The record is from RefSeq and is a predicted model, not a curated record. Lineage: Eukaryota; Metazoa; Chordata; Lepidosauria; Squamata; Cordylidae. The transcript has 2 exons.